Molecule: long non-coding RNA, 403 nt
Organism: Homo sapiens (human)
Lineage: Eukaryota; Metazoa; Chordata; Mammalia; Primates; Hominidae
Exons: 3
Source: RefSeq, a predicted model, not a curated record
AGUUCUAUGUUCUACCCCAGCUACUGCUGGCAAGAGAAAGAUGAGACGCUUUAUUUCUCAGUCUCAUAAAAGAGUGCAACAGUGUGUCGGCCGACUCUGGUACGCCUUUAUGUUUAUGGCACUGUCCAGCUUUCUGCGAAUAGCGACUUAUACUGUGGAGCAAUGGAAUUGGAGCAAUGGAAACCUCUAAAACACUUAAUUCGUUUAACAUCCGCUCCUCAAACCCUGCUUGGGCAUUACUCUUCUCCAAAUUUUGAUGGAGUAGAGUUAGCAGAACUCUGAACUUAAUGUUGCCAGAGUGUCUGAGAGUUGUUAUCCCAGUUGGAGGAGAAGAAGGCUGUGACUGCAGUAGAGAUUUAUCUUCUCUGGCUCGCUGCCCCACUUUAGGAACUCCAGGGAGAAG